RNAcentral lists this long non-coding RNA (7094 nucleotides) under Brassica napus (rape). RNAcentral describes it as "long non-coding RNA (BNAP_LNC006098)". The record is from RNAcentral. Lineage: Eukaryota; Viridiplantae; Streptophyta; Magnoliopsida; Brassicales; Brassicaceae.
UUUGGAAGUGCCGUAGUCCUUGAUCUCCUUGCGGCGCAUGAGCAUGGGGAUGUUGUUGGAGACGGAGACGACGGUGGCGAUGGGGAGGGCGGUGUAGGGGACGCCGCAGACGAGGUCGAAGGAGGUGGAGGGAGGGAGGGAGGAGAUAAGGGUAUGGGAGAUUUGGGAGAGGAGGGAGGGGUAGGAGACGAUGAGACGGAGGUCGAUGUAGACGGGGGAGUAGAUUCCGGAUUUGAGUUUGAAGUUGCCGAAUUUGACGGCGCCGAUCUCGUGGAGCUCCAGGAUUAGGGAUUCCAUCGCUGACAACAUUGUGAGGGGACUUGGCAGUGACUGAGUGCACAGUGGAGAGUGUGUGUGCGCUUUUUAUACUUUAGGUUUUGUUUUUUUUUGUUUUAUGGGAUUUUUGAUCAAUAAUCACAAAUUCUUUUUAACAUAAUUUAAAAUCAUUAAAAAAAUCAAAUUUUAGCAAAGAUGAAAUUCAUACAAUUAAUUAAAAAUUAUAUAAAUUUGGAAAAACAAUUUUUUUUUAUGUUUAAAACUAUAAAAACAUAAAUCUUGUUAUUAUGUUGUUGAGUUUAAACUUUUUAAGCAUGGAUUUAUGACAUAUCUGGUUCACAUUUAUAUUUGAUUUUACAUGUUAUUAUAGAAUAACUUAUUUUGCAACUUACUUUUAAUUCAUACUCUGAAUUAGAAACUAGUUUUUUUUAGAUUUUAAUGAAUUAACAUUUUUUUUAAGGCAUAAGAAAAUUCAAAUAUCUAUUAGAAUUCUUCUAUGUUGGAAACAAAACUGAAGAAUACAUUAAAAUUUGUAUAAAACAAGUAGGUCUGCUUCGACUAUGCACAGAGCUUCCCACCUUUUGUAUUCUUUGACUAACAGAUGUUUUUUUUUGGUGUUCGGAUUCCUUAUCUGCAGGAGAACACGAUGGGUUGAAGAAGAAACAGGUUGUGAAAGAUCACAUACAGUAAGAGCCUCUUGGGUCUUUUGUCACACGCAUAACUGAAGAAAAGAUAUUCUUGCAGUGUGAGACAUUUUUACUUCUCCUGAAAAUAGACUGAUUGUUACGAGUCUAGUAGUUAUGUUUGUCCUUGGUGAUAUGCUUACAAAUAUAAUAAGAGAUCAAAUCUGGUUUUGAAAAGAAAAUUGUAAGAGCAAACUACAUGAGUUUUCCAAAAUGUUUUCUCAUGGAAAUACGUGUAAUAAGAAAGGGUAUUCAACAAUUAAAAAAAACAAAAAGAAAACAUUUAAUUACAUGAAAGGAGUAAACAGGAGAUUGUUUCUAGCAAUGCAGAGAGAUGUUGCCUACGCUGCAGAUUUCCUCAGGCUGCUCUCUAACACCGCAAACCUAAACUGAUAGUUGACAAAAGCAACACAUGAACAUUAGUUACCAAUGAAUCUGCAUACAAGCCCCUAUAUGAACGAAUAUGAAAUGGCAUGGGACGCAAUAUUAUAUACCCUUUCUAUACUUCACAACUUUCUUUUGUUUCCUUGGGAUGCUUCAUUAACCCUCUCACCAACAGUGCUACUGGAUCCUGAGUUGGAUGCAUACCCUAAAGCAGUUGAACCUGCAGGUACAUCUUCCUCUUUUGCUUUCUGCUUAUUCAUGUGACUCUCUCUUGUGCUAGGAAAACUCCCUUUUACUUCAGUUCCCAUCUUCGAAGAAGAUGGUGAUUCUAGUCCUUCCGUAUGCUUUGCCGCAGACAUAUCAAAAGGCCUAUGAAAGAGCAAAUGAGCCACAGUUCUGUCUGUGGGAUUGGUCACAGUUUCGGUGUCUAGCAUCCCUGCAUAUCUGAAAGAACAAAAACCAAGAGCUAGCUAUGUAAACCACAUACUGUAUUGGUUUUGAUGAUGAAGUUUUAUUUAAAAUGCAAUCACGUAACAAAGAACUGCGACAGCACAUGAAAAGAGUGUUAAUGCAUAUGCUUGCAGCAUUCAGAUGGUCUUUACUGCGUAAAUUGAUUCAUUCAGAACAAUGGACAUAUGCUAAUCAUGGAUAAAUAGUUUUUCCUAUCUCACACUUAUCAUACAUAAAAGGCUACCCCACAUUCACAAAACUGUAUGUGUGUAGUUCACAUGAUCUAACUAAGAACCAUAUAUAUAUAUACCAUAUUGAUUAAUAUGCAUAGAUUUGCUUACCUAUAUCUGGAUUUUUCUUGAGGAAUAACCUCCUGGUCAUCCUGGCUAGUCUUAUUACUGUGGGGUGUAUCACUAGUGUGAUGUCUCUGACCUGCGCUAUCAGCCAAACGGAAUAAGCUAUCCCUUAUACAAGUCCUUGUUUCCAUAUCUAACUGCAGGUCAAUAAGUAGUAUUAGUUCCUUCCAACGUAAAGGCCAAUACAAAGUACUGUAGGAUUAUGGCUUCAUCUUUUUAUAACAUAACAAACCAGUUGAGUACCUUUGCUACAACAUCUUGAAGCCGAUAAAGAACCGAGAAUUCUGAUGGAUUAUCAACAGCAGCAGCAAAGUUUCCAGAAUCAUCUAGUUCCAGAGAUGAAUUGGGAUCAAAGGAAGGUAUUGCAGUUAGCCCUUGAAGACUAGUUUUGUCGACAAGCUGAGUAAUGGACUGAUCUGCUACAGGAACCUGGUGACGAAAUUGCUGUUGUUGUCUCUGAAUAGCAAGCAUCGCCUGCAUUUGCUGUCUGCGCCUAAGUUUUUCUAGUUUUUCCUGCGGCGUCAUUGUUGAAGGUCGUGCACAGACAUCUGUUACCGUGUUUGCAGAGAUAGCAGAAGCAGGGUUGUAGGAAGGAUGCAUCAGCUGAUUCUUGUUAACAUCAGGACAUUGGAAGGCUGAAACUACAUGCACAGCAGAAUAUGGAUUACCAAAACCAGAAGUAGCCAUGUAUUGGUUUGGCAUAUGUGGAUAAUGUGAUGUCCCAGACCCUUGAGACUCACUCCGCAGAUUGACACCCAUCAAAGUUGAUCGUGACGGUGCCAACUGGUUUACAAAUUUUCUCCUUGACCUCUGACCGUAUGGAUCUUGAAACGAUCCUGCCUCACAAGUCCCCAACAUUUCCGAAAGCUUCAUCAUUUUGUGUUGUUGAUAUGGCUGAACAGAAAGGAAAAUGAAAAGAGGUAAGACUUAAUGGAACUGUAAAAAUCACUAUGCAUAAAUAAGAAUCUAAGGGCAUCCGCAUUUGUGAGUUUCUCACCAAUUAUAUUAAUAUUUAAUUGGGGAGCCUCGUUGAAAAGCUGAGAGACUCAUGUGAAAGUCUCUCAUUACUAUGCAAUGAAUCUCUCAGUUUUUUCUACGAUACUCUCUAAUUAAAUAUUAAUAUAAUUAGUGAGAGACUCACUAAUACAGAUGGCCUUAAAAACAAACCGCAUUGAUGGAAACUAUGCAACAAUACUUUCUUUGAUUCAAUUUAUUAUAAACGUGUGGGCAAUAUCUCGAAGUCUGCAGUGCAUAGUACCUGGUCAUCAACUGAGGAUUGACUCUUAUGCUCAUGAUAUUCCUCAGCUUUUGGGGUUACACGAACUCUAGGCGCACUUUGGGAUGAUGGACCACCAUUGGUUUCUCCAGUCAAUGGAAACUGCUGGUUCUCUUGUUGCUCAAACUGAGUUCUAAUGUCCAAUCCUAGAUCUUGAGAGUCCAAAAUGGAUGGUAACGGCUUGGAUACAUCUUUAGAAGAAGACCAUAAUUCAUCUGCACCGCUGAGACUGCCAUCGCCAAAUAUAGGGACAUCACUACUGCAAAAUCACCACUUGUGAGGAUAUUGUGUUAGACAGAGAACCCAUUAGUAGGCAAUCCAGAGGUUGGUUACGCUGCAUAGCUCAAGCAGGAUGAGAAAAAGACAUACCUGAACAUUCGAUCAAGAUCAUCAAAGCUACCAAUGUUAGCCCAUCCAUACUCAUCAAAAUCACCAUGCUCUUUACUCUCAUCAGUGCUAUGAAAAAUAUCAGGGCCUUUCCCAAGUUCAGACGUUUUCUCUGGUAAAAAACAAGGCGACCACACACACAACUUUAAACAUGAUUAGAAUUUUCAAGAAACGUACCCAAGUAAAACAGCACUGUUUCAAGAAACGCACCACUUCUUGUUGAAUCAUAUCUAGCUGGCUCACUCGAACCUGGUCCUGGAUCAGCUUUUCUAGCAUUAGAUACUGAUGAGUCAGGCCAUGAGCUCAUACACUCAAUAUUUUGCCCUGAACUGCUCCCCCCCAGCUUACUAUCAUGAAGGUGAGUUGUCUUCUGCUCAGCUGGCUUAACUGCCUUAUUAGAUUCAUCGCCCUGUUCCUUCCUGUUUCUUACUUUAAAAGGCACAAUAUGGUCGCCUGUCUCUCCGUCGUCACCCCAUAUCAUAUUAGUAAGCUGAAAAAAACAGGUUAAACAACAAGGGAUCAGAGACAAGCAAGUAAUGACAUCUACAUGAAUGUAGAACAUGACGUAAGAACUCGAGACCAAGCUCAGAUAACUUGUAAAAAUUCAGAUCCUCCUUAUUCAAAGCCUAAACCUUGCUCUUGUCUGUGAAAUGGGGAUAUAAGGCUACAUAGCCAUGAAAGGUUUCAUCUACAUGCGACCAAAACUAAAACAGAGAGGAGAAGCGUGAAAAUAGAAUUUACCUCUUCGUCGUCCCAAUCAAACAUGACUAGAGAAACAGAGUCCAAUCACAGACCCCAAAUCACUCUCCUCUCUGAUUCCUCCACACAUCGCCCACUCCACCACGAUAAGAAAAAAAAAAUACCCACAAAAGAAAAAGUCGCUUAACGUAAUUCUCAAGAGUUAAAAACCGAUAAAAAAAUUAAUUAAAAUAAAAAAUUAAACCGAAAAAGAGUAAGCCUGCAAAAACCUGGAUUCAGAAUCCUUCAUGCUGUUGCUUCAUCUGGAUAAUGGGAAAAAAAAAAGGAGAGUUACUACAGAACAUGUUUGGGAAAGUGGGGCCCAUUUAGGAAGUGUCACGUGCCGAACGAGUGGCUGAGAGAGUAUGGACGGAGUUAGGAUGCCACGUCACACGAGAGUGCGUAUCUAAACAUGUGGCUGAGAGUGUGUGUCAAUAACUACGACAUUUCCACUACCCAGCUCACCACCUCUCAUUUUGACUUUCACUUGCUGAGAGCUGUUUUAUUUUCCCCGCUUUCAAAAAUAAUAAUAAUUAGAGAUACACACAAACUUAUACUAUUAUCUACUCUUAUAUUUUUCUUUAGUUUUUUAAACAAUAUAUUUUUCGUUAGUUAGUAAAUAAAAUAGUUUCGGAACUUUUAUUUGAAAGGCUGGAACCAGGGAGAUUUGGUGGGGUAGGAGUUAAUAGAGACCACUAGUAGGGGGAGGGGAGAGACUCACAGAGUGUGGAGUGUUAUACUGUUGGCCAAGCGCAUCACCACCUUUCACCAUCUGAACACCAGGCGUUGCAUGAAUCAUAGACGGAUUCACAUACCCGCAUUUCCAAGACGCUGGAUUAACGGAGAUGAAUCCCAUCACGAAAUCUGAAUGAGCCUCUGCGAUCUUCACGGCUGCUGCAGUGUAGUCUCCUGUAGCAAGGUUACCAGCAGAGCUCAUCUCAGCUAGCAAAAGCAGACCCUUACCACGAGGCAAACCCUGAAACCACAGGAUGACCUCAAAAUGUAAGUAAAAACGAAAGGAUCAAUGAGAAUCCGGUAACAAAUGAUUACAAAUAUACCUUCAACUUCAGGCCAUCAACGAUUCCUGGUCCUGAUACUAUGUGAGCGUUAAUGAUAUCAGCCCACUCUAAUAUUUUAAAGACGCCUCUGCAAACAAACCGCGGCAGAAAAAACUUUAUGAAAGUUUUUAUAACAGAUAUCAAUGGAGAACAAUGAGUGAACACAACGUAGAAAACUGACCCUUCAUACUGCAUUGUUACGGUGUUACCAAUGUCUGCAAACUUACGAUCCUCAAAUAUGAGAAACUUGUGCUUGUCUGCGAUCUGAAGUAACAUCAACAAUCGAUCAACAACAGCCAAAUCAUAGCUAGUUGGAUGAUCUAGGGGAACUUAAAGAACUUCAGUAUUACUAUAGCAUACGACUUAUGUUUCUAUCGUAGAGAGAUUACAUCGGACUACUGUUUUAAGUAGUACUAUCCCUCAUAUAACUUCACUAUAGCAUAUGACUCAUGCUUCUAUCGUAGAUAGAUACAACAUGAACAUACUUUGUGCAAACAAACCUAUCAAAUAAUCAAGAUGCAACUAAACUUACCGCACGGAGUUUAGAGCCAAAGUCAGAGGUGAAAUCAGGCAAAAUGUCAACAUGAGUCUUCAACAUACAUAUCUCUGGUCCCACCUUCAUCAACACAAACAUUUCAAAGAUCAUUAACACAUAAACCAUAUGAUGCACAUUCAGAUAAAAAGAGUCAAAAGAAGAGAGAUUCUUUACCUUGUCUGCAAUGUCAAGCAACUCAGCAGCAGUUCCAACAUCAGCAGCUAAGCAGAGAUUAGUCUCUUUCUUCACCAUAACCUCAAACAGCUUCUUCCCCAUGGGAUUCCUACAAAGCUCCGACCUUUCCUUAAACCCUAAAACCCUAUCCUCACCCUUCACCUUCUCCACACUCGGCACACUAACCCUACGAUUCUCUUCCAAAAACCUAAUCAAACUCGCCUCAACCCCCUCUUGAAUCUUCCCCUUCUCCCUCAAAACCCUAACCAUAUCCGUCAACCUAAUCAUCGAAUGAAGCCUAAUCCCAUUCUCCUCCAGAUUCUCCCUCCCGCCCUGCUGCCUAUCGAUCAACACCACCGCGUCGCUAACCCUAAGCCCAACCCCGCGAAGAGGCGCCGCCGUCUCCAGCACGGACCCCCCGCUCGUCACCAAAUCCUCGAUAAUGAGGCAAGUCUGAUCCUUCUCGAAGACUCCUUCGAUGGCUUUGGAAGUGCCGUAGUCUUUGAUCUCCUUGCGGCGCAUGAGCAUGGGGAUGUUGUUGGAGACGGAGACGACGGUGGCGAUGGGGAGGGCGGUGUAGGGGACGCCGCAGACGACGUCGAAGGAGGUGGUGGGAGGGAGGGAGGAGAUUAGGGUUUGGGAGAUUUGGGUGAGGAGGGAAGGGUAGGAGACGAUGAGACGGAGGUCGAUGUAGACGGGGGAGUAGAUUCCGGAUUUGAGUUUGAAGUUGCCGAAUUUGACGGCGCCGAUCUCGUGGAGCUGCAGGAUUAGGGAUUC